GCCCGUUCCCAUCUCACCUCAC
This 22-nucleotide unclassified non-coding RNA is filed under the name Mus musculus (house mouse). Its description in RNAcentral is "oocyte_clustered_small_RNA13287". Lineage: Eukaryota; Metazoa; Chordata; Mammalia; Rodentia; Muridae. The record is from RNAcentral.